Molecule: ribosomal RNA, 253 nt
Filed under: uncultured bacterium
Lineage: Bacteria
Description: partial 16S ribosomal RNA
Rfam family: Bacterial small subunit ribosomal RNA
Source: RNAcentral
UACGUAGGGGGCAAGCGUUGUCCGGAUUUAUUGGGCGUAAAGCGCGUGUAGGCGGCCAGGUAGGUCCGCUGUGAAAACCCGAGGCUCAACCUCGGGACGUCGGCGGAAACCAUCUGGCUAGAGUCCGGAAGAGGAGAGUGGAAUUCCCGGUGUAGCGGUGAAAUGCGCAGAUAUCGGGAAGAACACCCGUGGCGAAGGCGGCUCUCUGGGACAGUACUGACGCUGAGACGCGAAAGCGUGGGGAGCGAACAGG